Non-coding RNA from Ictidomys tridecemlineatus (thirteen-lined ground squirrel), 3209 nucleotides. The record is from RefSeq and is a predicted model, not a curated record. NCBI's taxonomy places the organism in Eukaryota, Metazoa, Chordata, Mammalia, Rodentia, Sciuridae.
GAUGUCACCGAUGGGUACAACUGGACAUCAGAUGAUGUCUACAUCUGUGAUGUCACGGACGGGCACAGCUGGACAUCAGGUGAUGUCCACUGCAGUGAUGUCACCCAUGUGUACAACUGGACAUCAGAUGAUAUCCACAUCUGUGAUGUCACCGAUGGGUACAACUGGACAUCAGAUGAUGUCUACAUCUGUGAUGUCACCGACGGGCACAACUGGACAUCAGGUGAUGUCCACUGCAGUGAUGUCACCCAUGUGUACAACUGGGCAUCAGAUGAUGUCCACAUCUGUGAUGUCACCGACGGGUACAACUGGACAUCAGAUGUAGCAGUAGGUCAGAUUUCACUAGGUAGCUACUGAAGGUGGAGGAAAGAGCCGAGUUCCAUUAUGAUCUGCAGAGGUAAUUUGGGCAUAGUAAAGGGGGAAGGAGGGAAGAAUUCAGCUUGGGACUCGGUGAAGUAAGAAGUAGGGGCAGUCGUUGUGAAUGCAGUUAGGUCAGCUGUGUUGGUGGCAGUGGUCUAAGAAUUCUGUCUUCCCCCAGAGACUGGGAGAGAGAACCUGUCCUACUGGAUGAUUAUAUUUCAAGGUAAUGGCUCUCAGGCUCUGAGCCCCUCUGAGUUGCAAGAGGUGCAUGUUGUCAUGCAAGUCCUUUCUAUUAAAUGACCGGAGAGAGGGAGGUUGGGGCCUGUCGUCAGGUGUUGGCCAGGACAGAGUAAGUUUUCUUGGAAGCCUUGAGCUUUCCUCAGGCAGUUGUUUUGAGGGACGAGGUGGAGGUGGGGUGUUGCACAUGAGGCACAAACUGAGCUGAGUCCCUGAGCUCAGGGGAUUUGCUUCCAGCAGGGUGUGUGGACUUGGGGGAACACCAUCUUCCUACCUGCCUCAGGAGGACUGGACUCAUGCAUCCCCGACCAGGAAGCCCCCCACCCCAGACUCUAGAGGGCAGAGGCACUGACUGCUCUGCCUUUGGCUGCCAUGGGGAGUGCCCGCCCUCAGCCCCCUAGUAAACACUCAGAGUCCCUAACCAUUCCUGUGUUGGCCUGUGGCCUUUUCUGCAGCCAGCAGGGCCUGGUGUCCCACAAAGGAGAUGCCUGUAAGGGAGGCACAGUUGGAGGCCUGGGCUGUGAAGGGCCUUUUGCUCCUCCUGUGCUGAACAGGCAGUGUGCUAGUCCUGAAAGUCAGAAUCCUGACUCAGCAAGCUGCGUCGUGCCCAUUUUGGGAAAACAGACUAAGUCCCUGGAGCUGCCCCUUGGCUGGGACUGGGUCUCCUGAGAAAGGGUGCCUAUGCAGUUAUCAGAGGCCCUGGGUGGAGGCAGGAGGUCCCUCUUCAGCGCCUGCACUCGGCCUCUAUGGGGAGACAUAUCCACCCUCAGCUUCCUGACAACCAGCACCCCCAACUCCUCUCCCCUUUCUGUCUUGUUUGACCCCCAGGGUGUUCUUCCCUCACCCCUUUAAAGGGCCAGCUUGGGCCCAGUGGACACAUGUGAGAUGCCUUGACCAGGUGGAACGUCCUCUCCUUUGCCUCCUGAGAUUAAAAGGGACAUUUUUGCUGUUACAAGCUGUGGAUGGCUGGGAGGUGGGCUGAAGGCCAUGUAAGGGGUGGGAUUUGUCUAGUUCUGUCCUUUCUGGGGCCCAGGAACAGCAAGGUGGAGGCUCAGUGUCCAGUCCCAGGAAGGCUGACAUCUUACUGCUCCUUGUCCUCAUCCUGUACUGGCUCCAGGAGGUUGAAAGCUGAGGCCAGAGUGCCCAGACAGUCAGUGUGGGAAGUGACCACCUGGCAGUGGUGAGGGCCUGUGAAGUGCCCUGCUCCUGUCCCCUCCCUAUGUGAGAUGAGCUUGGGGAGACAGAGGGUGGGCAGAAUGUGCCUGUGUCAUUCUCCUACAGAGCCUAGCAAAGUGCCACCAACUGGAUAGCUUAGACACACAGAGACGUGUGGCCUCAGACUCUGAAGUCCAGAGCUCUGGAACUGAGGUGUUGGCUGCAUUCCCCGGGAUGGUCUCCCUGCAGCCUCUCUAGUUUCCAGGCUUUGGCAGCAGAGCUUCAGUCUCCACAGGGUGUUUUUCCUGGGUCUGAUUCCUCCUAUUUAUAAGACACAAGGCUGUGCAGAUUUUUUUCUAUAAAUUUUACAAUUUUGCACUUGAAAAUUUGACUUUAUGGAUUAUUUUGAGUAGCUUUUUGGAUAAGCCAUAAAGAUCGCGUUUGAGUUUCAUGUGGUUCAUUUUUAUUUUCACAACUGUUCUGUAGCCAUUCAUGGUUACAGAUUUUUUCUCUCCAUCGAGUUGCCUUUGUUCCUUUAAGAGGACCACUUGACUGGUUUUACAUGGGUCUUUUUGGGGCUCAUUCUUCUGUUCCUUUUGUCUAUUUCCAAUUCCUUUCUCACUGCCACACUCUGGGAUCACUGAAGCUUUAUGAUAAGUGCUGUAACCAGAUGUGCAGAGUCUUGAACUAUUUUUUAAAAUAUCUUUAUUUUGUUUGUUUAUUUUUAUGUGGUGCUGAGGAUCCAACUCAGUGCUUCACAUGUGUGAGGCAGGUGCUCUGCCACUGAGCCACAUUCCCAGCCCCCUUUUGAGCUAUUUUUGAUCACUCCUAUGCCAUAUCUUCUAGGCUCAGCAUUUGUAGGUAUCUUCUGUGGUGUUGUGAUUGGGAUUCUGCUAAAUCUAAAGAUCAAAUUAGAAAGAAGUACCUUGCUAACAUUAAUGGUUGAAUUGAUCCUGAGCAAGGAAAAUCACUGCAUUUAUUUAUGUUUCUUUUCAUUCCUUUCAACCAUGUUCAAAGUUUUCUAAAUGCAUACUUGUAUAUGUGUUGUCAGAAUAAUCCUUCAGUAUUUCAGGAGUGCUAUUUUUUUUAAAAUUCAAAUUCCAGUAAUUCCUGUGUGGCCUACACAUAGCACACCAGUUUCCUUUUGUCCCUUCGCCAUCUGUUUUCCCUUUGAUAUUUCCAUUUGACUUGGGCUGUUUUCUGUUGCUGUAUCUGCUCAACUGAGGCUGAGUCAUUCAUUAAAAAGCUAUUUUUAGUGCUGGGGAUAUAGCUCAGUUGGUAGAGUGCUUGUUUCACAUGCACAAAGCCCUGGUUCAAUCCCCAGCACCAAAAGAAAAAAAAAAGCUAUUUUUACUUUAAGGUGUGUAGAGAGUCCCAGGUCAGGGGCUGCAUCUGUUGAAGGCCUCUUCUGGAAGGGACUCUGCAGUAUCCUGAGACACUGUGUGAAAAGACCAGCU